Molecule: ribosomal RNA, 392 nt
Filed under: uncultured bacterium
Lineage: Bacteria
Description: partial 16S ribosomal RNA
Rfam family: Bacterial small subunit ribosomal RNA
Source: RNAcentral
AUACGGAGGAUCCGAGCGUUAUCCGGAUUUAUUGGGUUUAAAGGGUGCGCAGGCGGCCAUUUAAGUCAGCGGUUAAAUCGUGGGGCUCAACCCCAUUCUGCCGUUGAUACUGGGUGGCUUGAUUGCGGUCGAGGUUGGCGGAAUUCGUUGUGUAGCGGUGAAAUGCAUAGAUAUGACGAAGAACACCGAUUGCGUAGGCAGCUGACCAGACCGCAAAUGACGCUCAUGCACGAAAGUGCGGGGAUCGAACAGGAUUAGAUACCCUGGUAGUCCGCACAGUAAACGAUGAAUACUUGGUUUCGGCGAUAUAAUGUCGGAGGCAAAGCGAAAGCGAUAAGUAUUCCACCUGGGGAGUACGCCGGCAACGGUGAAACUUAAAGGAAUUGACGGGG